Small nuclear RNA from Etheostoma spectabile (orangethroat darter), 186 nucleotides. RefSeq annotates it as U2 spliceosomal RNA. The record is from RefSeq and is a predicted model, not a curated record. NCBI's taxonomy places the organism in Eukaryota, Metazoa, Chordata, Actinopteri, Perciformes, Percidae. The transcript has a single exon.
AUCGCUUCUCGGCCUUUUGGCUAAGAUCAAGUGUAUUAAUCUUUCUUAUCAGUUUAAAUAUCUGAAAUAUGUCCUCUAAUCAGGGACAACAAUUAACUGGAUGUUUAACAAUGGAGUUGAAAGGCUUGCUCCGUUCACAUCCACGCAUCGACCAUUAUUGCAGUCAUCGCGGAAGGUGCACCCCAU